Homo sapiens (human) is the source of this 1114-nucleotide long non-coding RNA. Ensembl annotates it as long intergenic non-protein coding RNA 2096. Lineage: Eukaryota; Metazoa; Chordata; Mammalia; Primates; Hominidae. The record is from Ensembl.
GGGUGGGGACAAAUAAGGGUAUAAAAGCUGGCCACCCGCGCAAACAGCGGUAACUUGGUUGGGUGUUCUUCUCUGCUGUGUAGGCUUUGUUCUUUUGCUCUUUGCAGUAAAUGUUGCUGCUGCUGACUGUUGGGUCCCAGCCGUCUUUAAAAGCUAUUACACUCACGGUGAAGGUCUGUGGUUUCACUCCUGAAAUCAAGCGAGUGUACGAACCCACCGGAAGGAAGAAACUCCAGACUCCGAAGGAACAAACUCUGGACACACCAAAUGUAAGAAUUGUAACACUCACCGCGACGGUCCGUGGCGUCCACCCUCGCAGCUUCUUUCUUGAAGUCGCCGAGACCAAGAGCGCACCGAAAGGAACCAAUUGUGGACACAUCCGUUUUAGUGGAAUAAUAGUCCUUGGUUCUCUGGACAACCGGGAGAAUUGCAUUUUCUGAGGCCCACGAUAAGCACCCAACCGUUAAUAUUUCCAUGCUUCUCUGUCCAUCCCAUGGAGCCUGGGGCUUGAGGGACUGUGCAGUGAGGCAGCAACUCACAUCUCCAGCUGUUGGACUGGUCCUGCCAGCGACGUCUGCUCAGUAGAACAAGCAGCACUUCCCCCAGCUCAGCACUGUCUCAUUUCUGAGACUGAACACCCCGUGGUCACUCUACAUGGAUGGGUUAAUUUCCCUUGGAAAAGUAUUGAUGAUCAAGUGAUGCUAGCAGCAACAGUGUUAAAGGCUUUAACGCUUUUAAAGGUGAGACUUUUGGGAGUUGAUUAGGUCAUGAGGAUGGAGCCUGGUGAAUGGGAUCAGUGAAAGAGGCCUGAUGUGAGGGUGACACAGGCUUAAACUGAGACAAUCCAGCAUGGAACACUUGCAGGAAGUACUAGGAAAGUGCAUUUUCUUUCCAUGAGGGUUGCCAAACUGGAAGCAUGUUAGCUAAAGCUACCUGUAGUCAUUUUGUGGCCACAUUGGGUGAGAUUGUCUGAGAAAGCAAACCAACUGAAGCAGAGCAGAGAAGAUACUCUACCAACCUAGUUGGAGCCCUGGUUCCAGCCUUGCCUGAAGCUAAAUGCACCUCUAUGCUUCCUUUUUACUGACCCAAUAAAUUUCCCUAUUUGUUUAAACAA